This 634-nucleotide ribosomal RNA is filed under the name Morganella morganii. RNAcentral's name for it is "partial 23S ribosomal RNA". It matches the Rfam family "Bacterial large subunit ribosomal RNA", at positions 2164 to 2797 of the family's 2925-position model. RNAcentral also lists the same sequence under 1 other name. Lineage: Bacteria; Pseudomonadati; Pseudomonadota; Gammaproteobacteria; Enterobacterales; Morganellaceae. The record is from RNAcentral.
GUGGACGCCAGUCUGCACGGAGCCAUCCUUGAAAUACCACCCUUUAACGUUUGAUGUUCUAACCCGGGUCCAUAAUCUGGAUCGGGGACCGUGUCUGGUGGGUAGUUUGACUGGGGCGGUCUCCUCCCAAAGAGUAACGGAGGAGCACGAAGGUUGGCUAAGCAUGGUCGGACAUCAUGCGGUUAGUGCAAAGGCAUAAGCCAGCUUGACUGCGAGAGUGACGGCUCGAGCAGGUACGAAAGUAGGUCUUAGUGAUCCGGUGGUUCUGAAUGGAAGGGCCAUCGCUCAACGGAUAAAAGGUACUCCGGGGAUAACAGGCUGAUACCGCCCAAGAGUUCAUAUCGACGGCGGUGUUUGGCACCUCGAUGUCGGCUCAUCACAUCCUGGGGCUGAAGUAGGUCCCAAGGGUAUGGCUGUUCGCCAUUUAAAGUGGUACGCGAGCUGGGUUUAGAACGUCGUGAGACAGUUCGGUCCCUAUCUGCCGUGGGCGCUGGAAGAUUGAGAGGGGUUGCUCCUAGUACGAGAGGACCGGAGUGAACGCACCACUGGUGUACGGGUUGUGAUGCCAAUUGCAUUGCCCGGUAGCUAAGUGCGGAAGAGAUAACCGCUGAAAGCAUCUAAGCGGGAAACUUGC